RNAcentral lists this long non-coding RNA (2887 nucleotides) under Papio anubis (olive baboon). RNAcentral's name for it is "lncRNA (ENSPANG00000045332.1)". The record is from RNAcentral. Lineage: Eukaryota; Metazoa; Chordata; Mammalia; Primates; Cercopithecidae.
AUGACGUGCCCUUAUGGAAAAAACUCUGGGUUCAGAAACAAUGGAGAUACCAAACAAGAUAAGACUAAGCCACAGAGAUAUCUGAAAAGCUGCCAUCAAUCAAACCUCUUUGUGAAGCCGGUUAGUGCAGCUUCCAUUGUUCUAAGCAGCAGGCAAAAGGAACAAAUAAAAUCCAGCUGUUUCUUCACUCUGGCACCAGAAUUCAACCCUGUCAACAAGACGGAGGGUCUCCCAAAUGCUGCAAUCUGCUCCGUGCUCUGUGCUGCUCUGCUGGGCUGUCACAACUGCUCCCUGUGCCUUUCUGCAGGUGAGGUCUUCUCCCAGAGGAUUGAUUGAAGCUUCAACGAAUGAAUGAGGCAUCAGCAGAAGAGGAACAAAAGUCACAUAGGCUGCUCCUAAAUCCUAGUACCUCUCAAAUCACACCACCUAAGAGAACUUGGAGACAUGGAGGGGCAGAGGGUUCUGUCUUCCUUUGUCCCGUGUGCAGCCCUGCACCUCCAGAGUACAAAGUGGAAGGCACGCCCACUGUGGGAGGGCGGAAGCAGGCCAGAGAGAAAGCCCAGGCAUCUCUUGGCCACCUUGAUUAAUGCAAAUAAAAUUUCUGUGGAAAUCUAGUAUAAAUCUUUGUAAAUUGGAUCAUACUGUCAGUUGACAUUUAAUUUCAACAAUGUGUUCCACGAAGAGAAAAUAAAUUGGCCCUGAGAUCACAAAGGAAUUCAGUAAACCACUUACAAUUGUAAAUUUAGCCAAAAAGUAUUAGAAAAUGUUUUAACACAUUCAGUUGAGUAAAAUAAUGAUAAAAAAUAGAGCAGAGCAGAAACCACCAGAAACUGUAAAUGAAAAGGAAUAAAACCUCAUUUCACUGGAACAGCUCCUGGGAUUUAAGGGUGUAGAUUUUUUCUUUUAAUGAAAAUUACUCUCAAAGUUCUAUUCUUUGAACAACUCUUCUCUACCCGCAGUUCUCAGUGGAUCUCUCUCAUCCACCAGGCUCUAGAAACAUCAGCUCCUCCAGCGUCAAGCUCUUUUCCCUCCUGUGUGAUCACAACUUAUUUUUUUAAACAGGUAUUUAACCUGCCACCCAUUAAUAGAUAAGUAUAACUAAAGAUGUGCAUUUAGCUAUGCUGAUUUAAGUCAGUGUUGCUGAAAUAUUUUUGCCGAAGUCAUCAGAAAAGCAUCUCUAAGCAAACCCCCGAACAUUAUUAUCAUUCUUGCAGCCUGUGUUCUAUUAGAGAAAGUGCAAUUUCCGCAUUCCACUUGAAAAUAGAACCGUUGCGCUUUUUAUUACAGAAACAUUUUAAGUUACAAGUUAUAUUGCUUUAAUUUCUCCCCCACCCUCCCACAUUUUUGAGGAAAAUUGAUGCCAUUUAUCCUGUGGACUGCUUCAUAUCCCAGAGGUCAUGUAAGUAAAUUUGAGACCUACACACUACGGAAACCAAAACAGGACAAUAGGCAGCGAGUUCAGUGUCAGGAAUGUCAAGCACAGAGGAUCCUAUCCUUCCAGCUAUGUUCUAACAGUCCGUUGGAAAGUGGAGACUUAUUUAUUUAUUUAUUUUGAGACAGAGUUUCGCUCUUGUUGCCCAGGCUGGAGUGCAAUAGCACGAUCUCGGUUUACCGCAACCUCCACCUCCCCUGUUCAAGCAAUUCUCCUGCCUCAGCCUCCUGAGUAGCUGGGAUUACAGGCAUGCGCCACCAUGCUCGGCUAAUUUUUUGUAUUUUUAGUAGAGAUGGGGUUUCUGCAUGUUGGUCAGGCUGGUCUCGAACUCCCGACCUCAGGUGAUCCACCCGCCUUAGCCUCCCAAAGUGCUGGGAUUACAGAUGUGAGCCACCAUGCCUGGCCAGUGGAGACUUAUUUUAAAGGGAGUAAAUUUAAAGGGACAUCCUUUAGAUGUGCCACCUGCAAUAGCAUCAGGUAUAAAGGUGCAGGUCCUGAAGUACUGUGGCUGUGCCCACAGCGACAACACAGGAGAGGAGCAGUGUCCCCGCUCCACGAGAAGAUCAUGGGAAUGUCACCAGGACAGAACUGCUGAGGAAGGUAUCUCACUUCGUCUACAUUAGCCUCCUUGGGGCUCAAAGCAAAGAAUGAGCAAUAUGCAAAUGAGGACAAGGAAUGAUUAAUCCUCAAAGUUCGACUGCCUUUUUCCAAAAUUGUCUCAUUUUUUGGAUAUUUGCCCAUUAGACCUCUGUCUUCUUUUUUUUUGUUUGUUUGUUUAAGGGUUUUUCAUCUUCCCUCCUUCAUCUCUCCCUUUUCUGUGGGAGCUCUUGCCAUCCUAGCCAAACACACAGAAAAUGCGCUGGAGAAGGAGAACGUUAUGUCCUUCUAGAAGGAUCCAUGAAUUUGUCUCUUUUUGAAUUUCAAAUACCGCAGCUAGAUUUGCAAACCUUUUCAAGGUCAUCGAGUUCUAUUGGCAAUAUUUGAUCAGCAUGUGGAAACACCCCCUAGGACCAAAUGUUAUCAACCGAAUGGAAUUCCAGCGACUAUGAUAUUUCAGCUCUGACGAAUAAAGAGGUGGGGGAAGGCAGAGCAGGGAAGAGUUCUUUGGGGUCAGUAAUUACAUGAUAAGCCUGGGAAAAGGCUUACUCACAUCUAAGAAUCAUUCAAGGGAGAGCUAUAGUUUUGGCCAAGAGAUAGAAAGAUUUGAAAAAAAGAUAUUAACUUGAAAUCCUUUACUUAAAAUGAAAUAAACUGUAUUUGACAUUUGGAAACUGCUGCUCCAGCAAAGAUAAAGGCACUAAGGUUUCCAAAUGGAAGGUUGAGAUAGAAUGUGGAGGCUUCCUGAGAUUCUGAAGUAUCAUUUAGAAACUAGGAGCAAAAACUCAGAUUCUUGGAAGAUGUUCAGUAAAGGAAAUAUUUUUCUUGGCACAAUGUGCUUCAUUUUUCUUAGAGAAA